AUUGAACGCUGGCGGCAUGCUUUACACAUGCAAGUCGAACGGCAGCGCGGGCUUCGGCCUGGCGGCGAGUGGCGAACGGGUGAGUAAUGCAUCGGAACGUGCCCAGUAGUGGGGGAUAGCCCGGCGAAAGCCGGAUUAAUACCGCAUACGACCUGAGGGUGAAAGCGGGGGACCGAAAGGCCUCGCGCUAUUGGAGCGGCCGAUGUCGGAUUAGCUAGUUGGUGGGGUAAAGGGUUACCAAGGCGACGAGCCGUAGCUGGUCUGAGAGGACGACCAGCCACACUGGGACUAAGACACGGCCCAGACUCCUACGGGAGGCAGCAGUGGGGAAUUUUGGACAAUGGGGGCAACCCUGAUCCAGCCAUGCCGCGUGCGGGAAGAAGGCCUUCGGGUUGUAAACCGCUUUUGUUCGGGAAGAAAUCCUCUGGGCUAAUACCCCGGGGGGAUGACGGUACCGGAAGAAUAAGCACCGGCUAACUACGUG
Molecule: ribosomal RNA, 484 nt
Filed under: uncultured bacterium
Lineage: Bacteria
Description: partial 16S ribosomal RNA
Rfam family: Bacterial small subunit ribosomal RNA
Source: RNAcentral